RNAcentral lists this ribosomal RNA (983 nucleotides) under Tetranychus ludeni (bean spider mite). Its description in RNAcentral is "16S ribosomal RNA". The record is from RNAcentral. Lineage: Eukaryota; Metazoa; Arthropoda; Arachnida; Trombidiformes; Tetranychidae.
UUUUUAAAAAUUCUUUUCUUUAAAAAAAUAAAAUUUUAAAAUAUAAAAAAUCUUAAAAAAUUAUUUUAUUUAAAUACCUUUUGUAUAAGGAAAAAUUGAUUAAAAAAUUUAAAAAUAAUUUAUCUCGAAAAUUAUUAAAAUAAAAAAAGUUAAAUUGUAGAAAUUAUAUUUUUUAUUUAUGAUAUAUAAAGCAAUAAUUAAACUAGUUAUUUUCAAAAAAAAAAUUAGUGAAGCUAAAAUAUAAAACUUUUUAUUUUUAAAUAAAAAAGAGUUUCAAAUUAAUUUUUUAUUAUAAAAAAAAAACAAUUUUUUAAGUUUUAAAAAAAAAUAAAAAAUUUAAAUUUAUUAAAAUAAUUUUAUUAGUAGAAAAAUAUAAUAUUUUUUUUUAAAAAAAAAUGAAUUUUUAAAAAAUAAUUUUAUUUUAAAUUAAAUUUUUUAAUUUUUAACAAAAUAUCAUCAAUAAUAUUUUAUUGUAAAUUCUGCUCAAUGAAAAUUUAAAUAGCCGAUUAAUCGCUAAGGUAGCACAAUCACUUGUUUUUUAAUUAAAAACUUGAAUGAAAGGAUAAAAAAAAAUUUAAAUUAAAAAUUAUUUUAAAAUUAAAAUUUUAAUAUUAAUGAAAAUAUUAAUAACUUUUUUUAGACGGAAAGACCCUAUGAAUCUUACUUUUAUAAAAGUUUUUUGGGAUAAAAUUUAAUUUAAAUAUUUAAUUAAUUUAAUGAAAAGAACUUUUUAAAAGAAUAAAUAAAAAGAUACUCUAGGGUUAACAGGAUAAAAUUUAAUUAAAGAACAAAUUUAUUAAAAAAUUAUUACCUCGAUGUUGGUUUUAUAAAACUAAAAAUUGCAAUAGAUUUUUUUAGUUAGUCUGUUCGACUAUAAAAAUAUAACUUGAACUGAGUUCAAAUCGGUGAAAACCAGAUUGGAUCUUAUCUAAAAAAAAUUGUUUUUAAAAUAGUACGAAAGGAAAAUUUAAAAUAUAAAUUAU